UACAGAGGGUGCGAGCGUUAAUCGGAAUUACUGGGCGUAAAGCGCGCGUAGGCGGCUUUGCAAGUCGGGUGUGAAAUCCCCAGGCUUAACCUGGGAACUGCAUUCGAGACUGCAUUGCUAGAGUAUGGGAGAGGGAAGUGGAAUUUCCGGUGUAGCGGUGAAAUGCGUAGAUAUCGGAAGGAACAUCAGUGGCGAAGGCGGCGAUCUGGGGCGAUACUGACGCUGAGGUGCGAAAGCGUGGGGAGCAAACAGG
Molecule: ribosomal RNA, 253 nt
Filed under: uncultured bacterium
Lineage: Bacteria
Description: partial 16S ribosomal RNA
Rfam family: Bacterial small subunit ribosomal RNA
Source: RNAcentral